AGCAGCCGCGGUAAUUCCAGCUCNNAUAGCGUAUAUUAAAGUUGUUGCAGUUAAAAAGCUCGUAGUUGAAUUUCGGGAUCAUCGGGUUGGUCGUGCCACUGGUAUGUACUUGCCUCGGUGGUCCCUCCCUCUUGAAGAACCGUAAUGCCAUUAAUUUGGUGUUGCGGGGAAUCAGGACUGUUACUUUGAAAAAAUUAGAGUGUUUAAAGCAGGCAAACGCUUGAAUACAUUAGCAUGGAAUAAUGAAAUAGGACGUUUGAUCUUAUUUUGUUGGUUUCUAGGAUCNACGUAAUGAUUAGUAGGGAUAGUUGGGGGCAUUAGUAUUCAAUUGUCANAGGNGAAAUUCUUGGAUUUAUUGAANACUGACUACUGCGAAAAGCAUUUGCCAAGGAUGNUUUCAUUAAUCAAGAACGAAAGUUUAGGGGAUCNAAAUACGAUCAGAUACCGUCGNNAGUCUUANCCCAUAAACUAUGCCNACUAGGUGAUCGGAUGAUGUUAAUUUUUNAAUGACUCA
Molecule: ribosomal RNA, 514 nt
Filed under: uncultured fungus
Lineage: Eukaryota; Fungi
Description: partial small subunit ribosomal RNA
Rfam family: Eukaryotic small subunit ribosomal RNA
Source: RNAcentral